UACAGAGGUCUCAAGCGUUGUUCGGAUUCAUUGGGCGUAAAGGGCGCGUAGGCGGCGGGGUAAGUCGGGUGUGAAAUCUCAGAGCUCAACUCUGAAACUGCACUCGAUACUGCUCUGCUUGAGGACUGGAGAGGAGACCGGAAUUCACGGUGUAGCAGUGAAAUGCGUAGAUAUCGUGAGGAAGACCAGUGGCGAAGGCGGGUCUCUGGACAGUUCCUGACGCUGAGGCGCGAAGGCCAGGGGAGCAAACGGG
This 253-nucleotide ribosomal RNA is filed under the name uncultured bacterium. RNAcentral describes it as "partial 16S ribosomal RNA". It matches the Rfam family "Bacterial small subunit ribosomal RNA", at positions 524 to 776 of the family's 1533-position model. The record is from RNAcentral.